UGAACUGAAGUGCAGGGCGCCACAAGGCGCGGAAGAUCCGGAGCGCUCUGGGGCACGCCGGGAGUCCAGGCGGAGCUCAGGGGUUUCGGCGGCGCCCCCAAACUCUCGUCCAGAUCAUGUCCAGACCAAGUCCAGCCCCGCGCCGCCGGCGCCUCGGAGCCCGUAGACCGCCUAGGGAGAAGCCGCCUGGCUCCUAGGACACAGAUUGUCCCACGAAAAGAAAUUGAGGCUCCUUAGAGCCUCCUAUCCAAGGCUCCAUCCAGACCUGGAGAUGGAAAUGAAAGAUGAUCCUGAAAUAUCUUGCGACACCAAAAAGCAUAGACAAUUUGGAUUGGAUCAGGAAAACUCAGAAGCCAACAUGAAGAGCCUCCCACUUGCAAAAGGAAGUAUGCCAGCCAGUGAGCAAAAAGGGAAUGAGCGAACAUCACCAGUCUGCAGUUCCUAAUGAUUUAUGGGUGUAGCAAUGGUGACGUCUACUAAUAUCACAAGAAAGACCACCAGACUUUGAAUUUUCCUGAUAGAAGUAAACACCACCAUCUGUGAAGUCGCUCUGUGCCUCCCCCCAACCCCACGACAAAAAGUCAAAACCUUAUAUCUGAUCAAGCUCCUAGAUCUAAUGAAGAAUUUACAAGAAACAGAGGAGGAAAACCAUCACAAAGAGGCAAAAUCAAGGCUAUAGGAAACUCUAGGAGGCAAAUGAUCUGAUCUCUUCAACAAAAUAUUGCAUGAAAAAAACGAGAUGGAAAGGAAAAGAAAGAACCUACAGGUAAAGAGGUAUGAGACACAUCAACCAGUCACAACGGAUAAACUUUACUUGGACCUUGAUUCAAAUAAGCAAUAUAUAUUAAAAAAGAAAUCAAGAACACACAGGAAAGAUACAAAACAAAAAUGCCAAAAUUGACUGGAUAUUUGACGGUACUGAAGAAUUUGUUAUUUUUACAUUUAGGUUUGGUUGUGGUUGUUUUAAAAGGACUGCAUCUUUUAGAAAAGAGCACUGAAAUUUUUGCAAAUAAAAUAUGACAUUUGAGAUUUGCUUCAAAAUAAUCUGGGGGAGGGAGUGGGAAGGAGUACCAUGGGCAAGAUUGGCCCUGUGUUGAAAAAUGUUAAAGCUGGUGCUGAAUUCAUCAGGUUCAUUUUUCUGUUCUCUCUA
Long non-coding RNA from Neogale vison (American mink), 1150 nucleotides. RefSeq lists it as uncharacterized. NCBI's taxonomy places the organism in Eukaryota, Metazoa, Chordata, Mammalia, Carnivora, Mustelidae. The transcript is spliced from 3 exons. The record is from RefSeq and is a predicted model, not a curated record.